Limulus polyphemus (Atlantic horseshoe crab) is the source of this 294-nucleotide long non-coding RNA. RefSeq lists it as uncharacterized. The transcript is spliced from 3 exons. NCBI's taxonomy places the organism in Eukaryota, Metazoa, Arthropoda, Merostomata, Xiphosura, Limulidae. The record is from RefSeq and is a predicted model, not a curated record.
AGCCGUACCUCAUAGCUAACUGAUGUUCUCACUAAGGUGUACUGUCUUUAACUUAAAGAACUGUUGAAAUAUGAUUUAACUAUUUUUAAUUUCUGAUAAUAUGGUAUGCAUAUUUUACAAGAGUUGCAACUUGACAAAGCUCGUUUCCCAUGACAACGUCAUUUGAUCAAGAAAAUCCGUUCGCUGAGUUGACCGUUGAAUUGAAGGUGGAUCACAACUAUGAUAUCUGGAACGUUGAACAUUUUCCUGAAACUGAAACUAUUUUGCCUGAAUUGAUAAAAAGCUACGGCCAAU